UAGGGAGUCUUCCACAAUGGACGCAAGUCUGAUGGAGCAACGCCGCGUGAGUGAAGAAGGUCUUCGGAUCGUAAAACUCUGUUGUUAGAGAGAACACGAGUGAGAGUAACUGUUCAUUCGAUGACGGUAUCUAACCAGCAAGUCACGGCUAACUACGCGCCAG
RNAcentral lists this ribosomal RNA (163 nucleotides) under uncultured bacterium. Its description in RNAcentral is "partial 16S rRNA". It matches the Rfam family "Bacterial small subunit ribosomal RNA", at positions 355 to 511 of the family's 1533-position model. The record is from RNAcentral.